Prionailurus viverrinus (fishing cat) is the source of this 411-nucleotide long non-coding RNA. RefSeq lists it as uncharacterized. The record is from RefSeq and is a predicted model, not a curated record. NCBI's taxonomy places the organism in Eukaryota, Metazoa, Chordata, Mammalia, Carnivora, Felidae. The transcript is spliced from 4 exons.
GAAGGGGUAGCACUGGGAAGCUUAUCUAGUUCGAAGCCAUCACCACUGCUAGAACAGCACCACAAAGCCCAGGCUGCCCUGUUGGUAGUUUGAACACCUGAUUCUUUGAAAGCAUGUAGGAACCUUCAAGAUAGUUUUUACUCAAUCUCCUUCCUUUUACAGAAAGAGAAGAGUUGAAAUUGCUGGAGUAUCUUUGGAUCACCCCUAUGUUUGAACCUACAAACAUUAGUGCCAAAGUACAAUAUCAAAGUAGAAAACUAAAGAAGUUGACUAUGGUCCUGCUGAGGGCUUCUUCUAUCUCAUUCACUCCCCUUUUGUGGACCACAAUAUUGAGAUACCAGAAAAAGUGCUGAAGAACUUACACCCCACCUACCACUACCACAUGUCUCCAAGGAUACAUGCCUUCUGAGG